GAUGAACGCUGGCGGCGUGCCUAAUACAUGCAAGUCGAGCGAACAGAUAAGGAGCUUGCUCCUUUGACGUUAGCGGCGGACGGGUGAGUAACACGUGGGUAACCUACCUAUAAGACUGGAAUAACUCCGGGAAACCGGGGCUAAUGCCGGAUAACAUUUAGAACCGCAUGGUUCUAAAGUGAAAGAUGGUUUUGCUAUCACUUAUAGAUGGACCCGCGCCGUAUUAGCUAGUUGGUAAGGUGACGGCUUACCAAGGCAACGAUACGUAGCCGACCUGAGAGGGUGAUCGGCCACACUGGAACUGAGACACGGUCCAGACUCCUACGGGAGGCAGCAGUAGGGAAUCUUCCGCAAUGGGCGAAAGCCUGACGGAGCAACGCCGCGUGAGUGAUGAAGGUCUUCGGAUCGUAAAACUCUGUUAUUAGGGAAGAACAAAUGUGUAAGUAACUGUGCACGUCUUGACGGUACCUAAUCAGAAAGCCACGGCUAACUACGUG
This 497-nucleotide ribosomal RNA is filed under the name uncultured bacterium. Its description in RNAcentral is "partial 16S ribosomal RNA". It matches the Rfam family "Bacterial small subunit ribosomal RNA", at positions 28 to 507 of the family's 1533-position model. The record is from RNAcentral.